UACGAAGGGGGCUAGCGUUGUUCGGAAUCACUGGGCGUAAAGCGCACGUAGGCGGAUUGUUAAGUCAGGGGUGAAAUCCUGGAGCUCAACUCCAGAACUGCCUUUGAUACUGAGGAUCUUGAGUACGGGAGAGGUGAGUGGAACUGCGAGUGUAGAGGUGAAAUUCGUAGAUAUUCGCAAGAACACCAGUGGCGAAGGCGGCUCACUGGCCCGUAACUGACGCUGAGGCACGAAAGCGUGGGGAGCAAACAGG
This 253-nucleotide ribosomal RNA is filed under the name uncultured bacterium. RNAcentral's name for it is "partial 16S ribosomal RNA". It matches the Rfam family "Bacterial small subunit ribosomal RNA", at positions 524 to 776 of the family's 1533-position model. The record is from RNAcentral.